RNAcentral lists this ribosomal RNA (327 nucleotides) under uncultured eukaryote. RNAcentral's name for it is "partial 18S ribosomal RNA". It matches the Rfam family "Eukaryotic small subunit ribosomal RNA", at positions 1470 to 1796 of the family's 1831-position model. The record is from RNAcentral.
CCCUUAGAUGUUCUGGGCCGCGCGCGCGCUACACUGAUGAAUGCAACGAGCUCUACCCUUGACCGAAAGGCCCGGGUAAACUUGUGAAACUUCAUCGUGAUGGGGAUAGAUUAUUGCAAUUAUUAAUCUUCAACGAGGAAUUCCUAGUAAGCGCGAGUCAUCAGCUCGCGUUGAUUACGUCCCUGCCCUUUGUACACACCGCCCGUCGCUCCUACCGAUUGAAUGGUCCGGUGAAAUCUUCGGAUUGCUGACCAAGAUCCAGCAAUGGAGCUUGGUUGCGAGAAGUUGAUUAAACCUUAUUAUUUAGAGGAAGGAGAAGUCGUAACA